This 4001-nucleotide long non-coding RNA is filed under the name Malus domestica (apple). Its description in RNAcentral is "long non-coding RNA (MDOM_LNC006257)". Lineage: Eukaryota; Viridiplantae; Streptophyta; Magnoliopsida; Rosales; Rosaceae. The record is from RNAcentral.
AAAUGUAAUGCUUUAGAGAUUAAUUCAUUUUCCUUGUAAAGCAAUACAAUUAAAAGAUGUUAACUCUCUCUCUCUCUCUCUCUCUCUCUCUCUCUCUCUCUCUCUCUCUCUCUCUUCGUUUUCCCUCUCAUCUUCAUAGCCUUCAUCACUUUCGCCUAUUCAUUCUUCUCAAGAGCUUUAAUAUCUAGUUAUCAACUCAUUAAUAUAAAUAAAACAAAGUCAAUGGUAUAAAUAUACAAUAUAAUAUAUAUUAUAUAUUGUGAUCAAUUUAAUCAUAAUCAUCAAGCAAUCAAAGCCAAUCAACAAAUUGGACUGACUUUUGUAAUGUCAUCCUACAAUGAAAUCAACAGGAUGUGAGUUCGCAAAAUGAUCAAACGCAAUAGUUAGUAUAUAUACCACGAACAUAUGAAGAUGUUACUUCCCUUUUGAUGUAAGUCUGAUGGCUCUCAAUAUAUAGUGGCUUGUCCGCAGAACGUGAAUUCAUAUUUGAUCAAAGAAGGUUGUAGUAGUAUUUUAAGUAGCAAUCAAAAUCUACUCUUAAGAUUGUAGGAAAUAUAGGUGAUCUGGAUGCUUACUUCUUCUACAAUAAAUCACAUAAGAUAAAUAUUAGUAAAUAUCAUUUCACAUAAAAUAACAAAAUAAAUAAAAAUAAUCUAAUAACAACAAAAAACUUAUCUUUUAUAAGGUAAAAAUGCUCUUGGUCGAUGCUUGAUUAGAACAAGAUUUUAGGUUGAGGCGUGUAAGUUCAUUGUCCUUAAGAGUAGAUUUCGGCCCUCUAAGACAAUGUCUUGGUGUAAUAGGUUAUGGCACCCUACCAUCGAGGAUACAACAACCUAUGAUCCUCGUAAGUGUACAUUCGCAAUACUUGAAUCUAUGAACAACUCGAUUUUUCUUUGGCAUAUGAGAAGUGAAAUUAUAGUAGCAUUUGAGAUAAUAGAAUAAAUCAAGAGAGGAGAGGAAGGUGGGAUUCCUUUCAAUUAGGUGAGGUUUGUAGGAAAGAAAAUAUUUGAAGUCCAAUAACAAAGGAAUAGUCUAGGUAAAGAUCAACAUGAUCCUCACGGCUUGAAGAGUUGUUUUUAUAUAGAACAUGAGAAAGGUAAACAUGAUUAAGCAUGGUCUAAAAACGUUAGACUAUAUAAUUGCUCAAUUAAUGGGUUAAUCAAGAUGAAAUAUCAAAGAGAAACUGUAAUUUAUAGCCUCAAUAUUAUAACCCCUUUAAUGCAUCAGUUUUUGGUUUGCAAACAAAACUGAAAUUGAGAUUAAAAGAAAUCAUUAAGAAUGAUAUUAACAUGAUCAAUGAGGAGUUGUAUUUUGAAAUACCCAAUCAAAAAUUCCAACAAGACCAGCAUGAUUCAUAUUAUUCUUGGCUUCGGUAACUCAAACUGCUAGGAGGUGCUUCCAUGUCCCUUUUCGUAAUGAGACUUCUAUAGGUACUUGGAACAUCGAUGACCUGUUUAGCUUUGUAGGAACUCAUUGUCACUUCGUGCAACUGUCUUUCCAAAGCUAUGGUUGAAUGCUUCAGUACUCAUCUCUCUCUGUAUAGUCAUUCAAGUAUAAAAUUGGUCCUUCUGGCGCAUCUUUUUAAGGGAAUGCCAUGUUAUUCCUCUAUUCCUCUCACUUUGGCUUCUCUUUUUAUUUUUAUUCAGGUCUUUGGCCCCCUAUUAUGGCUCGGGUUGAAAUCAUGACUUCUCGAUGCAGCAGCGGUGCAGUGGUGGUCGGCAGCAGUGCGAGUGCUUAUGGCUGUUGCUGUCUUGGCAGCGUGCGUUAUAGCCAUCAUGCAUGAUUCUUUUUGUUCUCUUCUCCGAUCAUCAUUAUAGUACGUAGAAAACAAUUCCAGUGAUAAACAUUUGCCCCCAGUACACGCCUUGCGUGCCGAUCAAGUUCGAUCGCGUUAGCCUAAGACGAAGUCUGUAAAGCUGGUUGGUGCAGCACUGAACUCUGAUUCUUGCUCUUGAGAGAAGCGCGAGUGUGGCCAUUAGUCGUUAGCGAACGUUCCGCUUAUUACUUCGCAAUGCCUUUCCUUCAUUUUCAACUCUUCCUGCUAAUGCAAAAUUUUCUAUACAUUGGUCUUAAUUAGAUCAUGCCCCCCACCUUGAUUGUUGCAUAGCCAUUGAAUGCCUAUUCGAAGUCUUGGAAUCAUGCCCCCAUCGUAGCUUGAACAACAUCUAUGGGGCAGCCAUUGAAUAUGGAAGCUUGUACGCUGCCAAAGUUGGUUGGCAGCUACCUCAAGACACCAAUAUACUACCAUAUAUCUGUUAGGAAUGUCGGUACUACAAGAUAGAGAAUGCACAAAGUAAAGUAGAAAAUGGACACCAAGAAUUUACGUGGUUCGGCAAUUUAAGUUCAUGUCCACAGAACAACGAUCAAUCUUCAUUAUAUGAAAAUGAUGAGUACAACAAUAGUAGUCUUACCAAGCCAAAGACAAGGCUUGAUGGAUACAAGAAAGUAUAACACACACUUUCUAUUACUCUAAAUUUCACUCAUACAAUGUGUAGUGGAACACUCUCACUCUCACUCUUGGAGUGGAACUCUAGCUUUGGACUUGAUCUUUCUUGAUUGGUUACAUCACUACAACAUCUGUAACAUCCCACAUCACCCAUAAAUGUAUAUUCUUUAUUCUUUUAUAUUUAUAAGUCUUAGUUAUCCUUUAUUUUCAGCAAUUGCACUCAAUAAAUGGCUUUCGUCAUCCUUGGGUGUCAGCCAGCACGUGCCUUUCUUGGUAUUCAGGGAAUAUCGGGAUCGGGGCGUGUCAGAUUGGUUCAGAGCCAAUUCCUGGCCGGAAGUGUGCCGACGAGAACGUCGGGCCCCUAAUGGGGGUGCAUUGUAACAUCCCACAUCGCCCAGGGGAGCGUUCCUUAAAUGUAUAUUCUUUAUUCUUUUAUAUUUAUAAGUCUUACUUAUCCUUUAUAUUCAGCAAUUGCACUCAAUAAAUGGCUUUCGUCAUCCUCGGAUGUAGGCCAGCACGUGCAUUUCUUGGUAUUCGAGGAAUAUCAGGAUCGGGGCAUGUCAACAUCACACCCAUAUUUAUAGGUAAGGGCUUGGCAUUCUACUAAUUUCUAGUUUCUAGUAUAUUCUACAGACCUCUAGCUUAGAUAAUUCUAGACUAGCCAUCCUACUUUGCAUGCUAGAAUUUUCUAGCAUCCAUCCUUUAUAAUGGGCUGAACCUUUAAUGUCAUUCAUCAUGGGCUGGACCCAUGGUAUACUAACAAUGUCAACUAGUAGAGAUAUUAUAAGAGAAAAAGUAGGAGUGCUUCUCUGUUUGAUGUCUCAGCCCGUGCCCCCAUGGUAUAGCUAGGAUGGAUAAUAUUUCGUUACGCAGCUCAAUUUGAUUUUUUGUUCAAUUCCCACAAACAGUGCUAACUGUUGGAGCGAAAAAAUUCAGAUCUUCCAAUCUUCCAGCAAGUAAAUCUUGUGACCAUGUUGAGAACCCCACAACACCAUGUUUGCUUGCCAUCAAUGAGGGAGGAGAAGGACCUGCGAGAAAACAUUCUGAUGCACAAGUCAAUCUUUGUUUAAAAAUGAUACACUAAUACUUCUUUCUUUUCUUUUUUUUUUCCAAAAACCCUAUGCUGGUGGGAUUAUUAGGCUUUUAUAGGCAUUCAAGUCUUGGGCUCUAAGUCCCACUUUCCUUGUAUUUCUCCAUGUUUCACAUUCCAUGGAAGUGUUCGAUCAUGCUUCUUUAUUCUAUCUCCACUCCCCUAAUUGUAGGAUUCAUGGGAAGUGGACUCAUUACUUGAGCCUUAAUUUUUGCACCCACAGUAUUGUGAAAUGACCGAUGUGAGACCUUUUAUUUUAUUCAACAAUUAAUGAAUCUUUUUGCUCUAUAUUGGCGAUUUGUGACAUGGUUAGAAGAAUUUCACUAUUAUGUCCUUAUUACAUUUAAAUUUAUCUCUUUACUAAGAAUUUGUCUUCAGUAGUUCGGGCUAGUGAGUAGGUCAGAUUUUUAUCCAUGAAUUUCUAAGUAAGAAAAAAAUAGUUUUUUUUUUUCAAUUUAAUCAUAA